Long non-coding RNA from Neopelma chrysocephalum (saffron-crested tyrant-manakin), 159 nucleotides. RefSeq lists it as uncharacterized. The transcript has 2 exons. The record is from RefSeq and is a predicted model, not a curated record. Lineage: Eukaryota; Metazoa; Chordata; Aves; Passeriformes; Pipridae.
GGAAUGGGCUGCCCAGGGAGGUGGUGGAUUCUCCGUCCCUAGAGGUUUUUAAGAUGAGACUGGAUGUGGCAAGGUCUAGUGCCAUGGUCUAGAAACCACAGUGGUAGUGGAUCAAGGGUUGGACUUGAUGAUCUCAGAGGUCUUUUCCAACCCAGUUGA